GCCUAUGAUGAUUUGUCUGCAAAAUGGAUGGGUUGUGGAACCAAGUCCCUGUUUGCAGGGAGAACCUACUUGGGGAAGCAAUUUUGUAAUGACAUCAAUAGAUAUAUCUGAGGC
Molecule: small nucleolar RNA, 114 nt
Organism: Dioscorea cayenensis subsp. rotundata (Guinea yam)
Lineage: Eukaryota; Viridiplantae; Streptophyta; Magnoliopsida; Dioscoreales; Dioscoreaceae
Product: small nucleolar RNA Z278
Exons: 1
Source: RefSeq, a predicted model, not a curated record